CUUCCCUCUUAUUCUCAAUUGCACUUUCAUAUCAUACAACAAAUGGCCCUCUUUCUCUCUUUCUCUGGAAUGUUUGAGUUUCCAUAUCCAAGGCAUUACUAAGAUUGAAAUGCCCUCACGUGCAACUUCCAUACCAUACAACAAACUGUCCAUCUCGCUAGCUUAGCAAUAAUUGACAUUUACUUCUUCCCUUGAGGUCGGAGGUUUAAAUUUCCGUGACCCAUUUGCUUAUAUGGUCCUCUCGCUCUCUUGGAGGUUUAAAUCUCCGUGACCAAUUUUCUCAUAUGGUCCUCUCGCUCUCUUGGAGGUUUAAAUCUCUGUGACCAAUUUUCUUAUAUGGUCGUUUAAAUCUCCGUGACCCAUUUUCUUAUAUGGUCCUCUCGCUCUCUUGGAGGUUUAGAUCUCCGUGACCCAUUUUCUUAUAUGGUCCUCUUGCUCUCUCGGAGGUUUAGAUCUCCGUGACCCAUUUUCUUAUACGACCCUCUCGCUCUCUCGGAGGUUUAAAUCUCCGUGACCAAUUUUCUCAUAUGGUCCUCUCGCUCUCUCGUAGGUUUAGAUCUCCGUGGCCCAUUUUCUUAUAUGGUCCUCUUGCUCUCUCGGAGGUUUAAAUCUCCGUGACCAAUUUUUUUAUAUGGUCGUUUAAAUCUCCGUGACCAAUUUUCUUAUAUGGUUGUUUAAAUCUCCGUGACCCAUUUUCUUAUAUGGUCCUCUCGCUCUCUCUCGGAGGUUUAAAUCUCUGUGACCAAUUUUCUUAUAUGGUCCUCUCGCUCUAUCGGAGGUUUAUAUCUCCGUGACCUAUUUUCUUAUAUGGUCCUCUCGUUCUCUGGGGAAUGUUGUUUGAAUUUCCAUAUGUAUCAUUAUUAACACUGAAAGAUGUACAAACAGAUCUCACAUUGGGUUCCUU
Molecule: long non-coding RNA, 904 nt
Organism: Cucurbita moschata (crookneck pumpkin)
Lineage: Eukaryota; Viridiplantae; Streptophyta; Magnoliopsida; Cucurbitales; Cucurbitaceae
Exons: 3
Source: RefSeq, a predicted model, not a curated record